ACGCUGGCGGCGUGCUUAACACAUGCAAGUCGGACGAACGACUAUUAACAGAACCUUUCGGGCGAAGAAUAUAGAAGUUAGUGGCGGACGGGUGCGUAACGCGUGGGUAAUCUGCCUUUGUCAAAGGAAUAACUAUUCGAAAGAAUAGCUAAAACCGUAUAACAUAUUAAUAGGGCAUCCUAAUAAUAUCAAAACGAUAGUGGACAAAGAUGAGCCCGCGUCUGAUUAGCUAGUUGGUGAGAUAAAAGCCCACCAAGGCAACGAUCAGUAGCCGACCUGAGAGGGUGAACGGCCACAUUGGAACUGAGACACGGUCCAAACUCCUACGGGAGGCAGCAGUGGGGAAUAUUGCACAAUGGGGGGAACCCUGAUGCAGCAACGCCGCGUGAGUGAAGAAGGCAUUCGUGUCGUAAAACUCUGUAGUAGGGGAAGAAAGAAAUGACAGUACCCUAAAAGAAAGCCCGGCU
Molecule: ribosomal RNA, 467 nt
Filed under: Filifactor alocis
Lineage: Bacteria; Bacillati; Bacillota; Clostridia; Peptostreptococcales; Filifactoraceae
Description: bacterial SSU rRNA
Rfam family: Bacterial small subunit ribosomal RNA
Source: RNAcentral